UUCUAUCAGUCUUGCACGUGAGGAGAGCCAAACAAGUUCAAGAAAUUUCAGCGUCUUUUGCAGCUUUUCUGCGGCCACAAAACACAUCACUUCCUCGUUAUAGCCUUAGAUACAGUUUGGUCCGUUCUGUCAAGUCCAGCGUGUGUUUCUUCGUUCGAAGUUGCUGAGUGGGGUGGCUCAAAUUCGACGUCGAGGAUUGAUAGAGGUCAUUUUGUCUCGAAUUCCCCUCAGCGUAAAGCAUAGAAUGAAAGCAAUUACUGGAAAUCGAGAGUUACAUGGGAGGAAAAUUAAAAGAAGAGAGUAUCAUCCAAUAAGAGUCGAUACAAGAGGAUGAAAAAGGGUAUCCCAAGAGGAUUGGAGAAAUGGAAUGGAAAACGAACAGAAAGAUGAGAGAGAAUUCGGCUAAUUGUUGCUUAAAUUUCAUUAUUGAAGAAAGAAACGAGAGGAAAUUUCCAGGGCUCUGCCUAUUUAAUUCAAUAACAAGGAUUGUCAAGUACAGUACAAAAAAUUUUUACUCCUACUGUGAGCAGCGAAAAUAAAUGUUGAAAUUUUAUUCAAGUGUUACUUUACUAGUAAAUAUUUUGUAGAAAUCAAAUUAUAAGUGAGUAAGUCGAUAAGGUUUUCAGGGAUCGUCGUAGAGAAAUCAAAAUGUCUUUAAAAAUGUGAUUUGUUCAAAGUAAUUUACAAGUUUAUUCCAAAAGUGCAAGUGAAAAAUUGUUCAAAAAUAUGUCAUUCUAGCAGUGGUAGUGUGACUGAAAAUUCGUUUUAAAAUCCCUCAAAGUUCAACAGUAGUAGUGAAAAUAAAAAAUUAGUUUUAUACUCCGUCGAAGUCUAAUAGUAGUAGUACUAUUAAAAAAAUAUCGUUUUAAAAUCUGUACAAAUAAAAAUUGUUCAAAGUCUAGCAG
Long non-coding RNA from Pocillopora verrucosa, 905 nucleotides. RefSeq lists it as uncharacterized. The record is from RefSeq and is a predicted model, not a curated record. NCBI's taxonomy places the organism in Eukaryota, Metazoa, Cnidaria, Anthozoa, Scleractinia, Pocilloporidae.